This 301-nucleotide ribosomal RNA is filed under the name uncultured bacterium. RNAcentral describes it as "partial 16S ribosomal RNA". It matches the Rfam family "Bacterial small subunit ribosomal RNA", at positions 509 to 807 of the family's 1533-position model. The record is from RNAcentral.
CAGUAGCCGCGGUAAAACGAAGGGGGCUAGCGUUGUUCGGAUUUACUGGGCGUAAAGGGUGCGUAGGCGGACUGAUAAGUCAGGGGUGAAAUCCCAAGGCUCAACCUUGGAACUGCCUUUGAUACUGUUAGUCUUGAGUUCGAGAGAGGUGAGUGGAACUGCGAGUGUAGAGGUGAAAUUCGUAGAUAUUCGCAAGAACACCAGUGGCGAAGGCGGCUCACUGGCUCGAAACUGACGCUGAGGCACGAAAGCGUGGGGAGCAAACAGGAUUAGAUACCCCCGUAGUCCCUGUCUCUUAUAC